CAAGGACCCAAAGCAAGCCAUUCCAUUUUGGGCACUAUAAAAGGAAAAGAAAAAAAAAGAAGAAGAGGAAGAAUAUUAUUUUAGUAAGAGCCAAAAACUGAGGCAGACACUAGGAAAAUAGGUUUGAACAAGAUAAACAAAGCCUUUUCCUCUAUGCAGUUGACCUUUUUCUGGAGAAACACACCUGAUAAGAAUUGUGUAGUUAUUUAAGUUCCAUUGUGAUGCAGGCUAUGAGGGGAAAUUAUAGGUUCAUAAUAGGAAUACCUGGUUUCUCUUGGGAGUCAAGGAAAUGAUUGUUGAAGAAAUGAUGUUCGUGCUGAGCUCACAAGAAUGAAGAAGAGGCCUUUACUGGGUCAAAGGCUGGAGAGAGUGUUCCAAAUAUGGAACAGAACAUGUAAGCACCCUGAGGCAGAAAGAAUGGCCAUUCAGUGGAUUGAAAGAAAACACUGAAGCAAGAAAGGAGCAAAAAGGACAGAUGGGUUCCAUGAAGAAAGCAAGCCCAGAUGAUGCAAGGAGUUUGCAGAAGAGGAAACUGAGGCACAGAGAACUUGAGCAACUUGCUCAUCGUCACACCAGGACUAAGCAGAUAAGGAGAAAGAGGUUAGCAGCAGGCCUGCCAUCUGUUGCUGGGGGACUCCUCAAGAAAGAAAGAAAAGACAUCUCAUCAGAUCUCAUUGUAAAUAUGCUAAUGACAGACUUCCUAGCAAGCAUACUAGUACUAUUUACUAACUGUUUCCAGGAAAGCCGCUGUCUCAAGAGUAUCAAGGAGCGGAGGCUUCCCAGACCUCAACUCCUCACUCCCGGCACUCAAACCUGCCUCAAACAGGAAGACGAGACAAGAGACAACUGCGACGGAUGCCCACCUACCAUCCUCCUAUCUCACCAUUCCCGCCCCGACCCCCCCGCCCCUACCCCAGCAAGCAGCCUCUCAAGGCCAAAUGCAGGCUGGUGGGAAAACGCCAGCCUGCACAGCUAGAUGCGCCCCCUCCCUUACCCAAAACCCCAAAUAAAAAUCCCUACCCAUUCCUCAUCGGGGAGCUAGCAAUUUUUGAGGCAUGAGCCCUUGCUUUGCUCCCUGUGCCUGGCAUAGUAAAAACCUUUCCUCUUCCACUCAAGACUCUGUUCUCAUUAUUUGGAUUGGCAUCGGGUUCAGAG
RNAcentral lists this long non-coding RNA (1155 nucleotides) under Equus caballus (horse). RNAcentral's name for it is "lncRNA (ENSECAG00000059124.1)". Lineage: Eukaryota; Metazoa; Chordata; Mammalia; Perissodactyla; Equidae. The record is from RNAcentral.